AUGUCUACGGAAUGGGAGGGAGCACAAGCCAAGAAGCCUCUCUUGGUGACCGGGAACAACAAAGCUUCUUCCAUUUGGGUGGUGGUCGCUAGCACUGCCGUCGCCGUUGCUGGAUCCUUCGUGUUCGCCAUCUCGGUGGGCUACUCAUCACCAUCUCAGGAAGGCAUCAUGCGGGAUCUUCAUCUUUCCUUAGCUGAGUAUUCUGUCUUUGGCUCGAUAUUAACCAUCGGAGCAAUGCUAGGCGCUAUUCUCAGUGGUACCAUAGCAGAUUGGGUUGGUCGAAGAUGUGCAAUGGCAAUAUCAGAUGUGUUCUGCAUUCUUGGAUAUCUCCUUAUAGUCUUUUCUAAGAACUCUGUGUGGCUCGACCUUGGGAGGCUCUCAAUUGAAUGUGGAAUCGGCCUUCUCUCAUAUGUGGUCCCAGUAUAUAUAUCAGAGAUAACACCCAAGAAUCUUAGAGGACGGCUCGCAGCUGUAAACCAGCUUAUGAUAUGUUGUGGGGCAUCACUCGCGUAUGCUCUGGGGACAUGUAUCACCUGGCGCACCUUGGCAAUCGUAGGAGUGACACCAUGUUUACUGCAGCUGGUUGGCCUUCUUGUGAUUCCCGAAUCUCCCAGGUGGCUGGCUAAGAUCGAACACUCAGGUGCACUUGAGGAAGCGUUACAGAAGCUAAGGGGAAAAGAAACUGAUAUCUCCGAAGAGGCAGCAGAUAUCAAAGAUUUCACAGAAAAGAUUCAGCACCUGCCACAGUCAAAGAUGUUGGACCUAUUUCAGAAGGAUUAUAUUCAUGCUGUCACCGUUGGAGUUGGGCUAAUGGUCCUUCAACAGUUUGGUGGAGUGAAUGCAAUAUGCUUCUAUGCCAGUGAGAUAUUUGUUUCGGCUGGUUUCUCGUCAGGGAACACCGGAAUGCUCGCAAUGGUUGCGGUUCAGAUUCCGAUGACGGCACUUGGGGUGCUUCUGUUGGACAAGGCUGGAAGGAGGCCACUUCUGGUGGUCUCUGCAGCUGGGACAUGCCUGGGUUGCCUACUAGUUGGCCUCUCAUUCUUGUCCAAGAUCUUUAGUGGAUCUUUCUCACUGGGUAUGGGAGGAAUUCCAUGGGUUAUAAUGUCAGAGAUCUUCCCCAUACACAUGAAAGGGUCAGCAGGAAGCCUGGUGACCUUGGUGAGCUGGCUCGGCUCAUGGAUCGUCUCGUAUGCCUUCAACUUCCUCCUGGUACAUUUUUCAUGUUCGCGAGCAUUUGCGGGCUGA
RNAcentral lists this ribosomal RNA (1245 nucleotides) under Triticum aestivum (bread wheat). RNAcentral describes it as "partial small subunit ribosomal RNA". The record is from RNAcentral. Lineage: Eukaryota; Viridiplantae; Streptophyta; Magnoliopsida; Poales; Poaceae.